RNAcentral lists this long non-coding RNA (1765 nucleotides) under Lotus japonicus. RNAcentral describes it as "long non-coding RNA (LJAP_LNC000853)". Lineage: Eukaryota; Viridiplantae; Streptophyta; Magnoliopsida; Fabales; Fabaceae. The record is from RNAcentral.
CAUUCAACGUAAGGGGAAAAUCUAUGAUCAAAAUCUAGAUCAUGUAGAUAAUAAAACUUUAGCAAUGUACCAAUCAAAAUUAGCAGCAAACUUUUAGCAAUGUACCAUUAUCAGAAUCAAAUACGGUGUUCCGUCAACCCUCAAUCCUAGGCACAACUCUAACCAUAUAUAUUCGCGGGAAAUACCAUAAACCCUUAACUCAGCAUAUCAAGAUCAGACUCAAUGGUGCACGAAGACAUGAUUCCAAAUUGUACAAAGCAAGCUGCAAAAAAGGAAUGUGGAUCAAGCUCAGAUAUACACAAUUUUUCACUUUAAGAAAUUCAUACCUUGCGGGGAAAAGUGGCAGGGAAAAGCAUGGUUCAAGGAAGAAGAGCAGCAAUAAAUAUUCUAGGAGAGGUUCGAAACCAAAAGAGCAGUAAACAUUCUUCUAUCAGAAUUUUAAGACGUGGGCAAAGCGAAGAAUUUGUGGAUGGAACUUGGAAGCCAUUCAUACCAUUCCAAUGGACCAUCAGAGAUCUGUCAGCAUGGAUCAUAUUGUCAAUGUCAAAAUCAUAAAAAUAACACACAAAAAUUUCCUAAAAAAUCAAACUGUCUAGCAAUUUAUGUUACAAAAUACAGAAUUGAGAUCUUUUUGUUGUUUACAUUUGAAGAGCAAGACAAAUACCUUCUUUUAAAGAGGCAUUCAGAUCAGCUACUUCAUCAACACUUGGGGCCAUGAAGCUUGAUGGACCAUUUUUCUUUCUCAAAUAAUAGAGAAAACUAAUUAACAAAGAGUUCAUUUGAGGGAGCGUAUAUUUUCAUUCCAUUGGGAGGGGCAAAUAAUAGAAUUUGAUGGAUGAUAUAGGACAUGGGGAUUGCAAAAUUGCAAUGUCAUCUCUCUUUUGCUGAUCUUCAAGUCUUAUUUAUUUAAGAUGUGUCACUAUACUCUUACAGGCCAAUUAUCAGCAUUAUUUACUCAGUUAUAUAACAUUCCAAACUCUUUUCUAUAGGAAAUGUUGUUUUUAACCCUCCACAGAUUAACCAAAUAAUUAAUUAAUCACCAUUACCAUCUAGUUUGGUUAUUUUUUCUAUUAUGUUUUGUAAUUUAACAUUUGUAGCCAAAGGAAUCAAAACUAUGAAGAAGAUAUAUUAAAGAAAACAAAGCUUCAGACCCUCCCCCUAAUAUUGUGCAUAUCCAUAGCAAAACAAUGAAUCCCAAUCUCUGAUAAAGGAACCAAAUUUGAUUUAGAACACACAGACAUCCACAAACACAAAUGAUACCUUCAGAGAAACUGUGAGGAGCCGACAGAAUUUCAUCACAGCUAUACCUUAUCAUCAUAUGUGUUCCAUUGAUAUGCUUUACUCUAAUGAUUAAUCAAUAUAGUAGUAGAUUAAUGUUGCAAAAAGAGAAAGGGAUAAGGGCAAAGCAGUGUCAAUUUUUUAUGUUUCAUGUGAGAGUUGAAAGGAAUAAGAGUUGAGUUGAGAGAAUCAAAGGGGAAAGGGGAAGGUUUACCUAGGCAUCUGUGAUGUUGGUGAGAAAAUGGCUCGCCAAGGCUGAGGAAACAUAAAUGAAUGGGGUUAAUUGGGAAAAAAGAAUUGAACUUGAAGGGGAGAAAGUUUACCUUUGUCUGCAUUGAAAUAUAGGUCCUUAGUAUUCAUGGAGCAAUUGGUGAGGGUAAAGAGCAUGUAACUGAUGAUGCAGCGGAGAUGGAACUUCACCUACAAAAACAUAAACCUCAUCUUUGUUAAUACAAGGUAAAUACAAAAAAUAAAAAAGUUAAAUAAU